AUGUCUCCCUUAACCCCAAAAUGAGCCGGUGUAACACCACCCAAAAGCCAUCGUCCCUCUGCCGGCCGGAAAUCGUAGUCGCCGCCGGUGAUUCUACAAUUAGCCCCAUAUUUACACCCUCGAAUCCCCUCCUCCUCAUCUUUCCAACGCCCUAAAUCCCAACCCUCAGAUACUAACCGUUCAUCUUGAAUCUUCUAUCAAAGGAGUGAUUGUUCCGCCGUCCACAGUAGCGCCGACUCCAAUAGCCACCAAAAAUACACCACACAACCUCCUCGUCCCCCUCUUACCAAGUCCCAAGCCAAAACUACUCAAAUCAUGAUCAACCGGCUCGAAUUUUAGUUUGAAAAUCUGACCUGAAAACACCCCACCUCUGAACCAAACCAAAUAACACCCUGGACCCCCUCACCUUCCUUUCCUCAUGUCUUUGGUUAGUUUCCCUCAAAUAUUCCUCCAACAUCUCGAAUUUUAGAUAGAAAAAUCUUUCAAGAACCCUAAUUUUGAAAUUUGGGAAUUAAGGAGAUCCGGGCUAUAAUAUCCCUUAAUUGUGUUUUUUCUCACAAAAACAUACAAUUAAGGAUGAUUAUAAUCCAGAUGGAUUCAAGAAACUCCUCAGAUUUGGGCUAGUCAAAAUGAAAGCCAAACCAGUAAGUUUUAUUCCUAGCUUUCCUUUUUGUUUUGUUCUUUCUUUUCUUUUUUUCCUGUUCUCAUGAGUUCUGUUUGAUUUUGCUAGUUUAAUUUUGUCUUUGUUUAUAGUUAAUUCUGUUUUAUUCUCUGUUUGUUUUGAUUUUUAGUUUAGUCUUGUUCUGAUUUGUUUCAUUUUUUAAUUUGAAAUCCUGGCAUGUUUUAGGAUUUAUUUAGGGUUUUAAGAUGAUUGUGUUUAUGUUAAGUCAGUUCUGAUUUAUGAUUCAAUGGUGUUUAAUUAAUUUUAUGUUGAUUUUUAGACUUACCAAUAGUACUCGCUAAUUUGGAUUUUAGUUGGUUAAUUCAGGUCCUAAUUAGAGUUACUUGGAUGCACUGAUUCAGAUAUUAGGAUUGUUUGGUCAUAGCUAAUAAUGUUAACCAGGGCAAAGGGGUUGGGGUGUAGUUAGUACUAGGUUAGUAAAUCUCAGGGUAAAUAAAGGGUAGUAUAGGCAUUCCUAAAUAGAACACAAUGCUGUAGUUGAAUCUAGAACAUUUUAGAGUGGGGUUCAAAUUUGAAUUUCAGGAUUUUAUUGAUAUAACUUGAAGCAAAAGUUAGUUUUUUAAGGACUAACUAACAAAAUCUGAAAAAUAACGGAGGGACUAAUAGGUAAAACAAAAUAAAAAGGGUUGCCCUAAGCUCAGCCUAUAAAAGGGCAAACCAUUGCCUUAUUUUACAAGUUUUUGAAUGCUGAAAAUUCCCAAAGGUUGAAACUAUGAAAAAUUCCCAGAAGUUUUUUAUCCCUAGAAACAUUCCCAAAAAAUUUUAAAAUCCCUGAAAAUUUCCCAAAGGUUGGAACUCUGAAAAAUUCUCAGAAGCUUUUUGAUCCCUGAAAACAUUCCCGAAAAUAUUAAAAUCCCUGAAAAGUUCCCAAAAGGUUGGAACUCUGAAAAAUUUCUAGAAGUUUUGAAUCCUGAAAUUUCUAGCUUCUUAAAAUUCCCACAAAGUUUGAAGGCUAAAGAAUUCCCAGAGGAUUUUUUGGAUUCUGAAAAAUAUCUCUAAAAAUUAAAUCUUCAGAAAAAUCCCAAAAAUACUAUUUUAUUAGAGUUUUCUUCAGAUUAGUUCCAAUUUUCAGCCAUCCUUUUGAAUUUCUAGCGUAAAUACGAUAAAAAUGACUUGAAAUACGUGUGUUUGAAGUGUUGAAUCUUCAGAAGUUUGUUGGAUUCAGUUUUGAGUGUGUUUUGGAGUUCAAUUGAGGUUGUUUUUGGUUUGUUAUUGGUAUUACUGGUUUGAAGUCAUUUCCUGGGUUGCAAUGAUAUCGGUUUGGGUUUCUAAUAGAUCUGAUUAUUGUGUUGCUGUUGGAUCUCAAGUGUUGAUUCUUGUUGCUAUACUACUGAAUCACUGCCGAUCUCUUUCUUUGUUUCAUUGUAAUUCUAGGUACAUAUAUGAACUUGACUUGGUGUAGCUUUUGAGUGAAAAUGAAAUGAAAAGUGACAUGCAUCUGCUCCUUGAACUGUACUUGUUUGGAUUGCUAUGUUUAAUGGUCAAAUGGAUCUUAAAUGAUAUGUAAUAGGUUAGUAUAUUUUAAUUUUGGUUUGUACAUACAUAAACUUGGACUGGAAUGUUUUCAAGUCUAUUUAAGUGUUUUGAAUUAAUUGUAAGCCAUUUGACUGCUAUAUGUAAUAGUUAAAUCUAGACUACUAUAAUAAGUCAUGACUGAUUCAUUCCAGAUGUACGUCACUUGUAUUCGAAUGUGAACCUGCUCUAAAAGCUGAUGUUCGAACAUAUUAU
RNAcentral lists this long non-coding RNA (2410 nucleotides) under Nicotiana benthamiana. Its description in RNAcentral is "long non-coding RNA (NBEN_LNC030393)". Lineage: Eukaryota; Viridiplantae; Streptophyta; Magnoliopsida; Solanales; Solanaceae. The record is from RNAcentral.